This 85-nucleotide transfer RNA is filed under the name Felis catus (domestic cat). It matches the Rfam family "tRNA". Rfam says of the family: Transfer RNA (tRNA) molecules are approximately 80 nucleotides in length. Their secondary structure includes four short double-helical elements and three loops (D, anti-codon, and T loops). RNAcentral also lists the same sequence under 4 other names. The record is from Rfam by way of RNAcentral. Lineage: Eukaryota; Metazoa; Chordata; Mammalia; Carnivora; Felidae.
GCCUGGGUGGCUCAGUCUGUUAAGCAUCUGACUUCGGCUCAGGUCAUGAUCUCGUGGUCUGUGAGUUCGAGCCCCACAUCAGGCU